Dioscorea cayenensis subsp. rotundata (Guinea yam) is the source of this 814-nucleotide long non-coding RNA. RefSeq lists it as uncharacterized. The transcript has 3 exons. The record is from RefSeq and is a predicted model, not a curated record. Lineage: Eukaryota; Viridiplantae; Streptophyta; Magnoliopsida; Dioscoreales; Dioscoreaceae.
GUGCGGUUGUACAAAACGUCCAUGGAUAUAGUUUGGAGCUGUUAAGGUGAUGGCAAAAGAUCUUAUCUGAACAAGGCAUCAAAUUACAAAAUUUCAUGCACUCAACUCACAACUCCAAGGUGUAUCUCUUAGAAUUCAGGUUCUCUAACUAGUACUGUAUUUAAAAGCAUGAAUGCUAUGGAGUUUGGUUUUUUUAGCAAUUGGACAAAUUGUUACAAUGAAAAAAAGUUGAAUAAUUAGUGAAAAUUUGGUGUUUCAUUAAUCUAUGAAGACAAUUUAAGUUGUUGGUAUUUAGAUGUAGCCGCAUGUAGGAGAUGAACUAUAUAAUUUGGAAUUGAGUGUAUAAUUGAUUGUAUGAAGCAAAGGGUUCUGGACAAAAGAAACUGUGAAGUGGAAGGGAUUGUUAAAAAGUUUAGUGAUGAUUUGCUGAUAGAAUACCAGAGUUUGGAAAUUUGUCUCUUUAAGAGUGGAAGAAAACCAAUGGAUUGUUAUAUUGUAAAAUCUCAAUAUGUUUAUUGAAGUUUAUGAUGAAUCAGUGUGAAGGUUUUUUUUCCCGGAAAUCUAGCAAGCUAUGAUUAUGCAUCAGUAAGCUCUUGGUUUUUUAUUAUAAUCAGGUCAGUUGGUUCUCCAUUGGUGAAGCUUGCUUAUUUCUCUUAAUUUGGAUGCAGGUAGUCUUGGUGUGUAAUAAUUUAUGCAAAUAAUAGUUGGUACACUGAGAAGAAGUCAAUUGAUUAUGAUAAAAAGAACUAGUUCAUCCGGAAUGAAACCUAUAUAUUGACUGAACAAGAAUCUGAUUAAUUAGAAUAAUGGGUUC